CUUACUAGUACCUUUAGUAUAAAAGUCAAAUGAUAUUGAAGUUUCGACUGGAUUAAAUAUUGUUGCAAUAACUUACACACAAACAUAACAAAUAUGAAAUUUACAAUUGUUUUGGCGUUACUCGUCAUUUGCGCAGUAACUGUGCAGUGUUGUACCUUGGACUCCGACUGUAACCACUUGACCUGCGGGACUAGUCAAGAGGCAUACUGCCAUGGAAACCACUGUCAUUGUCAUCACGUACAUGAAUGCACAAGUGACACCGAUUGUCAUGGUCACUGUAAUGCCGGAGGUGUCCCAACUUGCGAUGGCCACGGACACUGCCAUUGUUACUAAGGUCUAAGAAGGGAAAGCGGAUAUGAAAUGAAAAAUCAAGAUAUUAAAUAACAAAUAAAUUAUACUUAUACCACGUU
Ruditapes philippinarum (Manila clam) is the source of this 410-nucleotide long non-coding RNA. RefSeq lists it as uncharacterized. Lineage: Eukaryota; Metazoa; Mollusca; Bivalvia; Venerida; Veneridae. The record is from RefSeq and is a predicted model, not a curated record. The transcript is spliced from 3 exons.